GAUGAACGCUGGCGGCGUGCUUAACACAUGCAAGUCGAACGUAGCACUUUAUUUGAUUUCCUUCGGGACUGAUUAUUUUGUGACUGAGUGGCGGACGGGUGAGUAACGCGUGGGUAACCUGCCUUGUACAGGGGGAUAACAGUUGGAAACGGCUGCUAAUACCGCAUAAGCGCACAGCAUCGCAUGAUGCAGUGUGAAAAACUCCGGUGGUAUAAGAUGGACCCGCGUUGGAUUAGCUAGUUGGUGAGGUAACGGCCCACCAAGGCGACGAUCCAUAGCCGACCUGAGAGGGUGACCGGCCACAUUGGGACUGAGACACGGCCCAAACUCCUACGGGAGGCAGCAGUGGGGAAUAUUGCACAAUGGGCGAAAGCCUGAUGCAGCGACGCCGCGUGAGCGAAGAAGUAUUUCGGUAUGUAAAGCUCUAUCAGCAGGGAAGAUAAUGACGGUACCUGACUAAGAAGCACCGGCUAAAUACGUG
This 481-nucleotide ribosomal RNA is filed under the name uncultured bacterium. RNAcentral's name for it is "partial 16S ribosomal RNA". It matches the Rfam family "Bacterial small subunit ribosomal RNA", at positions 28 to 507 of the family's 1533-position model. The record is from RNAcentral.